RNAcentral lists this microRNA precursor (160 nucleotides) under Vitis vinifera (wine grape). RNAcentral's name for it is "miR166d stem-loop (vvi-MIR166d)". Its record names the gene vvi-MIR166d. It matches the Rfam family "mir-166 microRNA precursor family". Rfam says of the family: This family represents the plant microRNA (miRNA) precursor mir-166. Lineage: Eukaryota; Viridiplantae; Streptophyta; Magnoliopsida; Vitales; Vitaceae. The record is from miRBase by way of RNAcentral.
CUGCUUUGAGGGGAUUGUUGUCUGGCUCGAGGCCACCAACCAUCUUUGAUUGAUUCAAAUACUUUGAUCAGCUUCAACCCAUCUUCUCCUUCAAUUCAAUUCCACCCUCUGAUUAUGUGUUAGUGCCCUCGGACCAGGCUUCAUUCCCCUCAAUCACUGC